Molecule: ribosomal RNA, 478 nt
Filed under: uncultured bacterium
Lineage: Bacteria
Description: partial 16S ribosomal RNA
Rfam family: Bacterial small subunit ribosomal RNA
Source: RNAcentral
GACGAACGCUGGCGGCGUGCUUAACACAUGCAAGUCGAACGGUAAGGCCCUUCGGGGUACACGAGUGGCGAACGGGUGAGUAACACGUGGGUGAUCUGCCCUGCACUUCGGGAUAAGCCUGGGAAACUGGGUCUAAUACCGGAUAGGACCCUGGGAUGCAUGUCCUGGGGUGGAAAGCUUUUGCGGUGUGGGAUGGGCCCGCGGCCUAUCAGCUUGUUGGUGGGGUGAUGGCCUACCAAGGCGACGACGGGUAGCCGGCCUGAGAGGGUGACCGGCAACACCGGGACGGAGAGACGGCCCAGACUCCUACGGGAGGCAGCAGUGGGGAAUAUGGCACAAUGGGCGCAAGCCGGAUGCAGCGACGCCGCGUGAGGGAUGACGGCCUUCGGGUUGUAAACCUCUUUCAGCACCGACGAAGCGCAAGUGACGGUAGGUGCAGAAGAAGGACCGGCCAACUACGCGCCAGCAGCCGCCGUAA